RNAcentral lists this ribosomal RNA (688 nucleotides) under uncultured bacterium. RNAcentral's name for it is "bacterial SSU rRNA". It matches the Rfam family "Bacterial small subunit ribosomal RNA", at positions 166 to 873 of the family's 1533-position model. The record is from RNAcentral.
AUUCCGCAUAAGAUCCGCAAGGAUGAAAGCCGUAAGGCGUCGAAGGAGGGGCCCGCGCCCGAUUAGCUUGUUGGCAGGGUAACGGCCUACCAAGGCUAUGAUCGGUAGCUGGUCUGAGAGGAUGGCCAGCCACACUGGAACUGAGACACGGUCCAGACUCCUACGGGAGGCAGCAGUGGGGAAUCUUGCACAAUGGGCGAAAGCCUGAUGCAGCGACGCCGCGUGGGGGAUGAAGCUUCUCGGAGUGUAAACCCCUUUCGAUCCGGACGAAUGCCCGCAAGGGAGUGACGGUACGGAUAUAAGAAGCCCCGGCUAACUACGUGCCAGCAGCCGCGGUAAGACGUAGGGGGCCAGCGUUGUUCGGAAUUACUGGGUGUAAAGGGUCAGUAGGCGGUGUGGCAAGUCGGGAGUGAAAUCUCUGGGCUCAACCCAGAGGCUGCUUCCGAAACUGCUGUGCUUGAGUGUGGGAGAGGCGCGUGGAAUUGCAGGUGUAGCGGUGAAAUGCGUAGAUAUCUGCAGGAACACCCGUGGCGAAAGCGGCGCGCUGGACCACAACUGACGCUGAAUGACGAAAGCUAGGGGAGCAAACAGGAUUAGAUACCCUGGUAGUCCUAGCCCUAAACGAUCAGGACUUGGGGUGCCACCCGUUCGGGUGUCGUCCCGGAGCUAACGCGUUAAGUCCUGCACC